This 117-nucleotide ribosomal RNA is filed under the name uncultured bacterium. RNAcentral's name for it is "partial 16S ribosomal RNA". It matches the Rfam family "Bacterial small subunit ribosomal RNA", at positions 1384 to 1500 of the family's 1533-position model. The record is from RNAcentral.
UACACACGCCCAUUACACCAUGGGAGUGGGUUGCACCAGAAGUAGCUAGUCUAACCGCAAGGGGGACGGUUACCACGGUGUGAUUCAUGACUGGGGUGAAGUCGUAACGAAGGUACC